AUGGCUGAAGGGAGUGCCUAUUUUGAUUGGGACAUGGCAGCCUCGGGGGCCGGGAACCACUUGACGAGCUUCGACCAUGGCGGUGUUGCGCAACACUUUGUCCAUAUUGAUGGUGGUGCUUCAGCCGGGGUGGUCGUCGUCUCGGGUGCCGGAUCAAGGGCUUCUGGUGGCAUCAGGGAGAUGGAUCCCACCAGCUUCCUCGGCUAUGGGAGCAGCAACGCCCCUGCGGCAAUCGCGGUGCCUGCUCGGGCGCUGCUGCGUGCCAGAUCCAGCGGCCAGGGGCUGACACGGUUCAAAGGGUCGUGGGCCAUGGAGGAAGACACGCUGCUCAGGGCGAAGGUGCAGGAAUUCGGCAAAGGGAGGUGGGUGAAGGUCGCGCUGUACCUCCCCGACCGAAGCGGGAAGCAAUGUCGGGAGAGAUGGAUCAACCAACUUGACCCCAACAUUGAGAGGAAAAUCUGGACUGACGCGGAAGACAUCAAGCUGAUCGAGGCGCAUCAGACGUGGGGGAACCGCUGGUCGGUGAUCGCCCGGCUACUCUCCGGUCGGCCGGAGAACGCCAUCAAGAACCACUGGAAUGCCACCAAGCGCAGUCUAAAUGCGAAGCGCCAGAUCAAGAAGAGGAAUAGCAAGAAACCACCUCCCGGCCAGCUCUGCCUUCUUGCGCAGUACAUCCGCAGCGUGGAGCCGCACACCGGAUCACCCGCGGAUACACGUUCGGUGUCCCCACCAUUGUAUCAUGACCAAGAGCACGGUGGGCAGACGGGGAUGGCCGGUAGAGAUACUGCCGUCGUCAUCGCCCCUACCGAGCAUGCACACCUGACCUACCCCAAUCCGGCAAUGAUUGGUAUGUACUACCACCUGAACCCGACAAACAUGCACUACUGGGCACCAAAUUUGAAUGCCGCUGAUAGGCAAAAUGAGGGGUACUCGUACUGCAUCCCUCCCAAUGCGCACCUGAACAACUGCCUGCCGUACGGCUUGUCACCAACGCAGAUGGUUAGUGAGCAAGACAUCCAGCAGGCGGCCAAUGCGAGCAUAAACAUGUAUGCGUUCACUGGACAACGUACCCUCCCGGUAGUGGUAGAGAUGCACCGUGAGUCUGCCGCCAACAACCAACUGGGCAAUGUGGGUGGUGGAGCUGGAGGCUGGUCCUACUACUACGACAUGGACGCGGCUGGUUCGAGUGGCCUUGCCAGAGGUAGUGGUAGCGGUAGCGACCCUGAUGACAUCGACAUGGUGCAGAUGGCCUUGAGGGAGUUUGCCAUGCGGGACCAGUAG
This 1281-nucleotide ribosomal RNA is filed under the name Triticum aestivum (bread wheat). Its description in RNAcentral is "partial small subunit ribosomal RNA". The record is from RNAcentral. Lineage: Eukaryota; Viridiplantae; Streptophyta; Magnoliopsida; Poales; Poaceae.